Molecule: ribosomal RNA, 253 nt
Filed under: uncultured bacterium
Lineage: Bacteria
Description: partial 16S ribosomal RNA
Rfam family: Bacterial small subunit ribosomal RNA
Source: RNAcentral
UACGGAGGAUCCAAGCGUUGUCCGGAUUUAUUGGGUUUAAAGGGUGCGUAGGCGGACCAUUAAGUCAGAGGUGAAAGUUUUCAGCUUAACUGGAAAAUUGCCUUUGAAACUGGCGGUCUUGAGUAUAGUUGAGGUGGGCGGAAUGUGUCAUGUAGCGGUGAAAUGCUUAGAUAUGAUACAGAACACCGAUUGCGAAGGCAGCUCACUAAACUAUAACUGACGCUGAGGCACGAAAGCGUGGGGAGCAAACAGG